This 3004-nucleotide ribosomal RNA is filed under the name Pluralibacter gergoviae. Its description in RNAcentral is "bacterial LSU rRNA". It matches the Rfam family "Bacterial large subunit ribosomal RNA". The record is from RNAcentral. Lineage: Bacteria; Pseudomonadati; Pseudomonadota; Gammaproteobacteria; Enterobacterales; Enterobacteriaceae.
UUAAGCGACUAAGCGUACACGGUGGAUGCCCUGGCAGUCAGAGGCGAUGAAGGACGUGCUAAUCUGCGAAAAGCGCCGGCGAGGUGAUAUGAACCUUUGACCCGGCGAUGUCCGAAUGGGGAAACCCAGUGCAAUUCGUUGCACUAUCGUUAACUGAAUACAUAGGUUAACGAGGCGAACCGGGGGAACUGAAACAUCUAAGUACCCCGAGGAAAAGAAAUCAACCGAGAUUCCCCCAGUAGCGGCGAGCGAACGGGGAGGAGCCCAGAGUCUGAAUCAGCGUGUGUGUUAGUGGAAGCGUCUGGAAAGUCGCACGAUACAGGGUGAUAGUCCCGUACACGAAAAUGCACAGGCUGUGAACUCGAAGAGUAGGGCGGGACACGUGGUAUCCUGUCUGAAUAUGGGGGGACCAUCCUCCAAGGCUAAAUACUCCUGACUGACCGAUAGUGAACCAGUACCGUGAGGGAAAGGCGAAAAGAACCCCGGCGAGGGGAGUGAAAAAGAACCUGAAACCGUGUACGUACAAGCAGUGGGAGCCCCACCACUAAGCCAGUGGUGAGUCCACGUCAGCAUCCUUUGCCGAAGGUAAGGUUAACGGAGCGCAAGCGACGUUCAACCUCAAAAGAAGCAGAGGGGGCUUAGUGGUGGGGUGACUGCGUACCUUUUGUAUAAUGGGUCAGCGACUUAUAUUCUGUAGCAAGGUUAACCGAAUAGGGGAGCCGAAGGGAAACCGAGUCUUAACUGGGCGUUAAGUUGCAGGGUAUAGACCCGAAACCCGGUGAUCUAGCCAUGGGCAGGUUGAAGGUUGGGUAACACUAACUGGAGGACCGAACCGACUAAUGUUGAAAAAUUAGCGGAUGACCUGUGGCUGGGGGUGAAAGGCCAAUCAAACCGGGAGAUAGCUGGUUCUCCCCGAAAGCUAUUUAGGUAGCGCCUCGUGAACUCAUCUUCGGGGGUAGAGCACUGUUUCGGCUAGGGGGUCAUCCCGACUUACCAACCCGAUGCAAACUGCGAAUACCGAAGAAUGUUAUCACGGGAGACACACGGCGGGUGCUAACGUCCGUCGUGAAGAGGGAAACAACCCAGACCGCCAGCUAAGGUCCCAAAGUCAUGGUUAAGUGGGAAACGAUGUGGGAAGGCCCAGACAGCCAGGAUGUUGGCUUAGAAGCAGCCAUCAUUUAAAGAAAGCGUAAUAGCUCACUGGUCGAGUCGGCCUGCGCGGAAGAUGUAACGGGGCUAAACCAUGCACCGAAGCUGCGGCAGCGGCGCUUAUGCGUUGUUGGGUAGGGGAGCGUUCUGUAAGCCGUUGAAGGUGUGCUGUGAGGCAUGCUGGAGGUAUCAGAAGUGCGAAUGCUGACAUAAGUAACGAUAAAGCGGGUGAAAAGCCCGCUCGCCGGAAGACCAAGGGUUCCUGUCCAACGUUAAUCGGGGCAGGGUGAGUCGACCCCUAAGGCGAGGCCGAAAGGCGUAGUCGAUGGGAAACAGGUUAAUAUUCCUGUACUUGGUGUUACUGCGAAGGGGGGACGGAGAAGGCUAUGUUAGCCGGGCGACGGUUGUCCCGGUUUAAGCAUGUAGGCGGAGGUUCCAGGUAAAUCCGGUACCUUUUAACGCUGAGGUGUGAUGACGAGGCACUACGGUGCUGAAGUAACAAAUGCCCUGCUUCCAGGAAAAGCCUCUAAGCAUCAGGUAACACGAAAUCGUACCCCAAACCGACACAGGUGGUCAGGUAGAGAAUACCAAGGCGCUUGAGAGAACUCGGGUGAAGGAACUAGGCAAAAUGGUGCCGUAACUUCGGGAGAAGGCACGCUGACAUGUAGGUGAAGCCCCUGCGGGUGGAGCUGAAGUCAGUCGAAGAUACCAGCUGGCUGCAACUGUUUAUUAAAAACACAGCACUGUGCAAACACGAAAGUGGACGUAUACGGUGUGACGCCUGCCCGGUGCCGGAAGGUUAAUUGAUGGGGUUAUCCUUAGGGAGAAGCUCUUGAUCGAAGCCCCGGUAAACGGCGGCCGUAACUAUAACGGUCCUAAGGUAGCGAAAUUCCUUGUCGGGUAAGUUCCGACCUGCACGAAUGGCGUAAUGAUGGCCAGGCUGUCUCCACCCGAGACUCAGUGAAAUUGAACUCGCUGUGAAGAUGCAGUGUACCCGCGGCAAGACGGAAAGACCCCGUGAACCUUUACUAUAGCUUGACACUGAACAUUGAGCCUUGAUGUGUAGGAUAGGUGGGAGGCUUUGAAGCGUGGACGCCAGUCUGCGUGGAGCCAACCUUGAAAUACCACCCUUUAAUGUUUGAUGUUCUAACCUGGCGCCGUGAUCCGGCGUGGGGACAGUGUCUGGUGGGUAGUUUGACUGGGGCGGUCUCCUCCUAAAGAGUAACGGAGGAGCACGAAGGUUGGCUAAUCCUGGUCGGACAUCAGGAGGUUAGUGCAAUGGCAUAAGCCAGCUUGACUGCGAGCGUGACGGCGCGAGCAGGUGCGAAAGCAGGUCAUAGUGAUCCGGUGGUUCUGAAUGGAAGGGCCAUCGCUCAACGGAUAAAAGGUACUCCGGGGAUAACAGGCUGAUACCGCCCAAGAGUUCAUAUCGACGGCGGUGUUUGGCACCUCGAUGUCGGCUCAUCACAUCCUGGGGCUGAAGUAGGUCCCAAGGGUAUGGCUGUUCGCCAUUUAAAGUGGUACGCGAGCUGGGUUUAGAACGUCGUGAGACAGUUCGGUCCCUAUCUGCCGUGGGCGCUGGAGAAUUGAGGGGGGCUGCUCCUAGUACGAGAGGACCGGAGUGGACGCAUCACUGGUGUUCGGGUUGUCAUGCCAAUGGCAUUGCCCGGUAGCUACAUGCGGAAGAGAUAAGUGCUGAAAGCAUCUAAGCACGAAACUUGCCCCGAGAUGAGUUCUCCCUGAGACUUAGAGUCUCCUGAAGGAACGUUGAAGACGACGACGUUGAUAGGCCGGGUGUGUAAGCGCAGCGAUGCGUUGAGCUAACCGGUACUAAUGAACCGUGAGGCUUAACCUU